RNAcentral lists this ribosomal RNA (425 nucleotides) under uncultured bacterium. RNAcentral describes it as "partial 16S ribosomal RNA". It matches the Rfam family "Bacterial small subunit ribosomal RNA", at positions 354 to 796 of the family's 1533-position model. The record is from RNAcentral.
GUGGGGAAUCUUGCGCAAUGGGCGAAAGCCUGACGCAGCCAUGCCGCGUGAAUGAUGAAGGUCUUAGGAUUGUAAAAUUCUUUCACCGGGGACGAUAAUGACGGUACCCGGAGAAGAAGCCCCGGCUAACUUCGUGCCAGCAGCCGCGGUAAUACGAAGGGGGCUAGCGUUGCUCGGAAUUACUGGGCGUAAAGGGCGCGUAGGCGGAUCGUUAAGUCAGGGGUGAAAUCCCAGAGCUCAACUCUGGAACUGCCCUUGAUACUGGCGAUCUUGAGUGUGAGAGAGGUAUGUGGAACUCCGAGUGUAGAGGUGAAAUUCGUAGAUAUUCGGAGGAACACCAGUGGCGAAGGCGGCUCACUGGCUCGAUACUGACGCUGAGGUGCGAAAGCGUGGGGAGCAAACAGGAUUAGAAACCCUUGUAGUCC